AGCGGCGGAUGGGUGAGUAACACGUGGGAACCUGCCCCUAAGUCUGGGAUACCAUUUGGAAACAGGUGCUAAUACCGGAUAAUAAAGCAGAUCGCAUGAUCAGCUUUUGAAAGGCGGCGUAAGCUGUCGCUAAGGGAUGGCCCCGCGGUGCAUUAGCUAGUUGGUAAGGUAACGGCUUACCAAGGCGACGAUGCAUAGCCGAGUUGGGAGACUGAUCGGCCACAUUGGGACUGAGACACGGCCCAAACUCCUACGGGAGGCAGCAGUAGGGAAUCUUCCACAAUGGACGCAAGUCUGAUGGAGCAACGCCGCGUGAGUGAAGAAGGUUUUCGGAUCGUAAAGCUCUGUUGUUGGUGAAGAAGGAUAGAGGUAGUAACUGGCCUUUAUUUGACGGUAAUCAACCAGAAAGUCACGGCUAACUACGUGCCAGCAGCCGCGGUAAUACGUAGGUGGCAAGCGUUGUCCGGAUUUAUUGGGCGUAAAGCGAGCGCAGGCGGAAAAAUAAGUCUAAUGUGAAAGCCCUCGGCUUAACCGAGGAACUGCAUCGGAAACUGUUUUUCUUGAGUGCAGAAGAGGAGAGUGGAACUCCAUGUGUAGCGGUGGAAUGCGUAGAUAUAUGGAAGAACACCAGUGGCGAAGGCGGCUCUCUGGUCUGCAACUGACGCUGAGGCUCGAAAGCAUGGGUAGCGAACAGGAUUAGAUACCCUGGUAGUCCAUGCCGUAAACGAUGAGUGCUAAGUGU
Molecule: ribosomal RNA, 742 nt
Filed under: uncultured bacterium
Lineage: Bacteria
Description: bacterial SSU rRNA
Rfam family: Bacterial small subunit ribosomal RNA
Source: RNAcentral